RNAcentral lists this ribosomal RNA (492 nucleotides) under uncultured bacterium. RNAcentral describes it as "partial 16S ribosomal RNA". It matches the Rfam family "Bacterial small subunit ribosomal RNA", at positions 28 to 507 of the family's 1533-position model. The record is from RNAcentral.
GAUGAACGCUAGCUCCAGGCUUAACACAUGCAAGUCGAGGGGAAACGACAUCGCAAGCUUGCUUUUGAUGGGCGUCGACCGGCGCACGGGUGAGUAACGCGUAUCCAACCUGCCCAUCACUUGGGAAUAACCUUGCGAAAGUAAGACUAAUACCCAAUGACAUCCCACGAAGACAUCUGAAUGGGAUUAAAGAUUUAUCGGUGAUGGAUGGGGAUGCGUCUGAUUAGCUUGUUGGCGGGGUAACGGCCCACCAAGGCAACGAUCAGUAGGGGUUCUGAGAGGAAGGUCCCCCACAUUGGAACUGAGACACGGUCCAAACUCCUACGGGAGGCAGCAGUGAGGAAUAUUGGUCAAGGGGCGAGAGCCUGAACCAGCCAAGUAGCGUGCAGGAGGACGGCCCUAGGGGUUGUAAACUGCUUUUAUAAGGGAAUAAAGUGGGUCUCGUGAGACUUUUUGCAUGUACCUUAUGAAUAAGGACCGGCUAAUUCCGUG